This is a transfer RNA of 85 nucleotides. It matches the Rfam family "tRNA". From Rfam's summary of the family: Transfer RNA (tRNA) molecules are approximately 80 nucleotides in length.
GGGCGAGUAGCCGAAUUGGUACAGGCGCACGGCUUAGGACCGUGUGGAGCAAUCCGUGAGGGUUCGAGUCCCUCCUCGCCCACAA